Long non-coding RNA from Fukomys damarensis (Damara mole-rat), 1107 nucleotides. RefSeq lists it as uncharacterized. The transcript is spliced from 3 exons. NCBI's taxonomy places the organism in Eukaryota, Metazoa, Chordata, Mammalia, Rodentia, Bathyergidae. The record is from RefSeq and is a predicted model, not a curated record.
GAGCCUGAUGGUAAGGAGAGAUUCAGAGCAGGACUACAUUCAUUUUCUAAUUACUUCAUCAUGUAUCCAAAUAAAAUGACUUCUCUCCAAGAAGCAUGGUCUGGUGACAGCCUGACUGUCAGGGGAACAGGGUUCCAUAACAAGUGGCAAACCCAAGAUAUAAAUCCCCAGUCUGAUUGUGAAGCCUACAACUGGUGACACUUGCCAGUUCAGUCAACCAGAAGACAGACACAUCUAAGGGCUCACUAGCCCAGCCUCGGGAAUAAGCAGAGACACGAGAACCAGAGCAUGUGGAAGAUAUCCCCAAAAUUCUUUGGCACUAACUUCUUGGAUUUACAUAGUAUUUGCUCUAGGACUAUGGUAGCAAACUUAUGGCACAUGAGCCACAACAUGCUGUUCGUAUCAUCGAAAGCUCUAAAAGAAGAUCCCUCUAGCACAAUAUGGAAGAUCAACUGAAGGUGAGCCAUGACGGGAGCAGUAAGGAGGCGAAGUUAGUGAGACUCGAUGACAGUGGGUGUGAGAGAAAUGUCAGAACCAAGGAUGGCGCCAAGGUUACCAGUGACUGAAAUAGGAACAGAGGAAGAGAAGACAAUUUGUAAUGAUGGGUUCAGCUGCAGACACGUUGGUUUUUCAAUGCCUAUGGGAUAACCAGGUGAAUAGAAAGAUAAGUAAAUCUGGAGCUAAAUAUUGCUCAGACCCAGAAGUUCCCUCCCCCAAUCCCAGUCCUACUGAGGGAACUCUAAUGAGUGCACUUGAAACUCUCUUAGGAAAAGGAAAGAAAGAGACAGUAGACACCUCGGAGUUCCUGAGCUUCUGCUUGUGAUUGAGUGAGAGCAGAACAAGGAAGGAGUCUUAAGAACUAAAGCUUCGUAUAAGGAAAACUAUUGCCGGAGACAACAGGCAGCCACAAGUUGUAUCAUCCUUAUUUUCGUGAUAAACAGGAGGUCUGAAUGUUUGCAAGCCAAUAAAAUAUUUUGAAACCUUGAAGAUUAGUGUGCUUUAAGGUUUUGGAUGAAUGCCAUUCAGAAAGUGUUUCCUUUUUGAAGUUGUCAUUAUAAUAAUGAAUGUUUUGUAUUUGGGGAAGUGGUGUAAUAUUUGGAAUGUUCA